UGGGGAAUCUUGCGCAAUGGUCGAAAGACUGACGCAGCGACGCCGCGUGGGCGACGAAGGCCUUCGGGUUGUAAAGCCCUGUGGGGCGGGACGAACAAGCGGCGGGUGAACAACCCAUCGCCCUGACGGUACCGCCUUAGCAAGCACCGGCUAACUCUGUGCCAGCAGCCGCGGUAAGACAGAGGGUGCGAACGUUGCUCGGAAUUACUGGGCGUAAAGCGCGUGCAGGUGGCCCGGCACGUCCGGUGUGAAAGCCCGGGGCUCAACCCCGGAAGCGCGCUGGAAACGACCGGGCUGGAGGGCUGGAGAGGCGGGCGGAAUUCCCGGUGUAGAGGUGAAAUUCGUAGAUAUCGGGAGGAACACCGGUGGCGAAGGCGGCCCGCUGGACAGCGCCUGACACUGAGACGCGAAAGCGUGGGUAGCAAACAGGAUUAGAUACCCCCGUAGUCC
This 450-nucleotide ribosomal RNA is filed under the name uncultured bacterium. Its description in RNAcentral is "bacterial SSU rRNA". It matches the Rfam family "Bacterial small subunit ribosomal RNA", at positions 355 to 796 of the family's 1533-position model. The record is from RNAcentral.